This is a long non-coding RNA of Rhea pennata, 1455 nucleotides long. RefSeq lists it as uncharacterized. The transcript is spliced from 5 exons. NCBI's taxonomy places the organism in Eukaryota, Metazoa, Chordata, Aves, Rheiformes, Rheidae. The record is from RefSeq and is a predicted model, not a curated record.
GCUGCUCUCGCCUGUCCGCAUUGCGGUACUGCACCCGAAAGGGGGACGCGCAUGCGCACUGCCUCCCGCCCCGCUCACUGCUGCCCUCGCCUGUCCGCAUUGCGGUACUGCAACCGAAGGGGGGCCGCGCAUGCGCACUGCCUCCCGCCCCGCUCACUGCUGCCCUCGCCUGUCCGCGUUGCGGUACUGCACCCGAGACGGGGCCGCGCAUGCGCACUACCUUCGGCCCCGCUCACUACUGCCCUCGCCUGUCCGCAUUGCGGUACUGCAACCGAAAGGGGGACGCGCAUGCGCACUGCCUCCCGCCCCGCUCUCUGCUGCCCUCGCCUGUCCGCAUUGCGGUACUGCACCCGUAGACGGGGCCGCGCAUGCGCACUCCUGCCCGCCCCGCUCUCUGCUGCCCUCGCCUGUCCGCAUUGCGAUACUGCACGCGAAACGGGGCCGCGCAUGCGCACUGCCUCCCGCCCCGCGCUCUGCUGUUCUCGCGUGUCCAAAAGCCAGCGCUGCAGCCCCCCCCCCCGGCCUCCCCCGCGUGCGGAGAAUACCGCCGGCAGCACACGCGCGCACUGGCGCGCCUCUCCGCUCUUUCGGCCGUAGGGUAGUCCCCGGAAGGGGGCAUCUCCAAGAGAAGCGGCUAGACCCAGCGACCCAGCCGUUCGCUUUGGUCGCCACCUGUGAGGCGAGCAUCCGAGCGCAACGGGAGUCCGGGAGCUGUAUCGAGAAGAGCUGGAACCAACGACAGCAAAUGCUGACGGAGAGGGAAGCCGGACGAGCGGCAUGUAGGGGAUUAAUACCUAAGGGACGGGGUUGAAACGAGGAGGCAGAAACGCAGCGGACCCUCGGUAUCCCCAGCAGCUGCCACGGUAGCAGCAGGUGUUCCGCCACGGGCAAGUCAAGCAGGGAGCGACGACGGGCUGUCGUGAAGAACUACAGGCUGCCGCCCUCCGACCUCGGCAGGUGACGCGCCGAGAGCAGCCGGGAGAAUCCGAAUGCCGGUCUUGGCGAGUUCUCUGCCUGGUGCUGACGAGGAGCCUUUGACAGUAGGAAGGUUGGCAGCGUCCGUACCUGAACCGUGGAGUACACACCUGCUUCUAGUCUCAGUUGAAGGACGGGUCGCCUAGCUCAGCGUCUAACAAACCCCACAACCGGUGGCCCGGUCGCUAUGGCGCUGCUGUUGCUAGCAGAGCCACCAGGUCUGUGUGAAGCCUUAGGUGCCUGCUUGGAGCAGUGUUUUGGUCUGCUCACCUGGAAGAAGCAGCGAGGCCUAAAAUAAGACUUUGUUGCGGCUACAUGGGUAAGCUGCGACCCCACGUGUCUUUGCCUUGCUUUGCUGCCUCAUGUCGUAAGAGCGACUUGGGAAUAAAAACCGCUUAUGGGGGUGCUUAAGGGAGGAUCUGCGUUCUGCCCAGCUUAGGGAGCUAUAGCGAAAGCUUGGGGAGGGAGGGGAGGGGAGGG